AAGUCGUAACAAGGUCUCCGUAGGUGAACCUGCGGAGGGAUCAUUACUGAGUGAGGGCUUCUGGCCCGACCUCCCAACCCUUUGUCGUUCGACUCUGAUUGCCUCGGGGGUGACCCGGCCAUCCGGCCGGCCAGCCCCCUGCGGGUCCACUUAACUCUGCGUCUCAAGCGUCUGAGUCUGAUACCUAAAUAUCUAAUUAAAA
RNAcentral lists this unclassified non-coding RNA (202 nucleotides) under plant metagenome. RNAcentral's name for it is "partial contains small subunit ribosomal RNA and internal transcribed spacer 1". The stretch from base 1 to 46 matches the Rfam family "Eukaryotic small subunit ribosomal RNA", at positions 1786 to 1831 of the family's 1831-position model. The record is from RNAcentral.